GAUGAAGAACGUAGCGAAAUGCGAUAAGUAAUGUGAAUUGCAGAUUUCAGUGAAUCAUCGAAUCUUUGAACGCACCUUGCGCUCCUUGGUAUUCCGAGGAGCAUGCCUGUUUGAGUGUCAUUAAAUUCUCAACUCUCCAACUGUUGUCAUGACUGGUGGUAGAGCUUGGACGUGAGGGUUCUGCCGGCUCCUUGUUGAGUCUGGCUCCCUUGAAAAUGAUUAGCGCAGCUUUGCACUGUCCGCUUCAGGUGUGAUAAUGUAUCUACGCCCGACUAGCGACGCGCAUGAAUGGCUUUGUGCUUCUAACCGUCUCGAAAGAGACAAUACCUUUUGAACUUGACCUCAAAUCAGGUAGGACUACCCGCUGAACUUAAGCAUAUCAAUAAGCGGAGGA
RNAcentral lists this unclassified non-coding RNA (394 nucleotides) under soil metagenome. Its description in RNAcentral is "partial contains 5.8S ribosomal RNA, internal transcribed spacer 2, and large subunit ribosomal RNA". The stretch from base 1 to 120 matches the Rfam family "5.8S ribosomal RNA", at positions 35 to 154 of the family's 154-position model. The record is from RNAcentral.